This is a long non-coding RNA of Vespa velutina, 3057 nucleotides long. RefSeq lists it as uncharacterized. NCBI's taxonomy places the organism in Eukaryota, Metazoa, Arthropoda, Insecta, Hymenoptera, Vespidae. The record is from RefSeq and is a predicted model, not a curated record. The transcript is spliced from 5 exons.
GAUUAUUAGAUCGAAAAAUUACGUAUUAAUUGACUAGCAAUGUAUCUGCGCAUGCGCGGCGCGAAUUGUUUAAUCGUCUUGCCGGUGAAUAUGACGCCAUUUUGUGUUCGGUGAUCAUUAGUUAGACAGGGAAGCCGUAUCCUCCUCAUUAAUUUCAGGUUUCCAAGAAUUCUAUGGACUGAAACAGACGGAAUAUUUUGGCUUUUCUUUUUCUACACAUACUUUCUCGUCGUCCUAUGUAUAGCUUUUUGGAUCUUAGAAAUAAUUUGUGAUCGUGUGCAAAGCGGUCUUAGAAUCAGUGUUUGCUCGUACCAGUUUUAAUUUACUUUUUUAUGGUUAAAUAAGUUGAUCAAAUAUAAUUAGAUUCAAUAGAAAUUCGCGAAUUAGAGUCAUACUUGGAUUAAAGCAUCAUCAUUCUUCAUUAUCUUGGAGCAGGAUGCUCAUCGUGCAAAGGACUAACAAGAGCUCCGCUCAAAUGAAAGAAGAAUCAUCCUUUUCAUAAUCACGGGGCAGGAUGCUCAUCGUGCAAGCCUUAAUGAAGAUUUUAAAACGUCAUUGCGAUCGUGCGCGAAGCAAUGGAUAAAUCGAGUGUUGUAUCGCUAAAAUAAAAAGUAAAAAGUCGCGAAGUAGAAGCAGUGUGUUUGUUCGUUCGUGUUUCGCGAUUUAAACUUGUGUGUGUGUUCUUGGCUCGACUGCGUGCAAUGCAGUUAUUAGAAUCAGUGUUUGUUCUCGAAGUUUUUUCACAGUCGCACAUGAUUGUAUUUAUAAAAGACAAUAGAAUUUCGCGCAUUAACUUCAGUGAACGUUCGUUAAAAAAUAACUAACGCGUAUUAGAAUCAGUGCAUCAUUGAAGAGGAUCUCGACCAACUUCGAUGUCGACUUACUACCUCAUUUUGAACCAACUACAAAUCAUCCACCCUCAAUUUCGACCUAAAUCGCGGACGAGUGUUUUGGAGCCAUCGCAGAACUUCUUAAGUAGUAAGUGAACAAAUUUUAAGUUCCUCCAGUGCUCAAUCAUGCCGAGGACGAAUGGUCCGAAUCGGCACGAGUUACUGGUUGUAAUUUUUUUUAGAUGAAUUAUUAACGAGCAUGACCGAGAGUAAUUCCCUCUUUUGGAUUUACUCACGAGUACAAAGAUUUAUUUUUAAUCGUCCAUUUACUUUCAAUUGUCCAUGUUUGUUUUUAUUAGCUUAGGCUAUAGGGUCUUCUUGUUUCAUCGGCUCGACUCGUUUAAUUAUCAGUGCAUAAAAUUAGUUAUUUCGCGAUAUUAAUUAUGAAAUCGGGCAUUCAUUUACCCUAUUUCGUCAAGAGAAAAACAUGUAUUAUGGUUUAGAUUACAUGCAUUGAUUAUUUCGUACUUACUAUUAAUCUAUUUAAUCGCGGUCUAUCACGUCGAUGUAUCGAUAUAAAUGUAUCAAAAAAUGAGCAAGAAGACAAUCGCGACGGAUAGAUUUUGGAAAACAAGUGGUAGAUAUUCAUGAUACUUGCUCUAUAAUUAAAAUAACCACUUGUUAAAAGAAAUCGUCCGAGGUUUUUCGAUGAAAAAUUUAAAUAAAUAUUCAAUGAAUUUUUUUGAUGAAUGAAAAGUCUCAAUAGAGUCAUUGUUUUUGAAAGGAAAAAGUCGAGUAGAGUAAUUGUUAAAAAAAAAAAAAAAAAAAAAAACAAAGAGACUUGUAAAGUCAUAGCCCGUAGAAUCUAAAAUAAAUUAAUCAAUUUUUAGAUCAGGAUUUUCAGCUUCUAACAAACUAAUUAUCUCCCCUCGCCCUCAUGCUUUCUGCGUUCCUCAUCCAUGCAUGUGCCCAGGUGUUACUCGUAUGGAUGAGAAACGGGAUUAGUAUGGGUUUAGUUUUAAGUUCUCCCUUAUUGGCGGCUGUCAAUGUGUUAGUGAUUGCGCACGAUAUACUUUUCAUCUGUGUGUGCUUGCUCGUGUUAGGUGGUGGAUUGUAUAUCGUUUCGCGAUAAUUUUUAAAUAAUUACAUAUCCUAUAAAUUCAAUAUAUUAUUAUUAAUAUCGUUUUGCAUAGUAGAGUUACUACAUUUUCUUGAAAUAUUCAAAUACUCAUAUAUUACUAAUACCGUUGUGGUAUACCGGUAUGUACUAGUAUCUUUUUUUUUUUUCCUUUAACCAUUUACGCAAUUAAUAAUCAUUAGCCUUGACAGCCGAUUACAGCAAUUGGUACGUAUCCCCUAAUUAACUAUGAAUUAUACGCGUAUGAGCUAGGGUGUCGGAGGUGCCCCGGGGCAUACUCUCUAGUGUAGGCUUUUGCAUCCUGGCGGUAUGUGAGAGAAUCGUGGAGUGUAUGUGUUGGAACGAAUGUUUUGCAAUAUUUUAAAUAUAGGUUAUAGGCAGGCAGGUAGCAUAUCUUUUUCUGUGUGAUUGUCCGUUUAAUUUUAAGCAGGUAGGAUCGAAUAAGACGCGCAGGGUAUAAUUUUCACUCAAAAGUGGAAAUUUCCGUCUCCGGAUAUUAUACAAAGUUUCAGCAAAUUUUAGAAUUUUUCAACAUGUUCGCCUUUUUCCAUAUUUUGCUGAUACUCUGUAUUGCGAUAUAUAUCAGUAUCAAACAGUUUAAAAGUCUUUGCAUAAGACUUUUCAACAUGUUCGAUAUUUAGUAUUAAGUGUAUUAACAGUUUGCACUUUCGUGAUAUCCCAUAAUAAUUUCUAAUAUCUAAUAUAUUAUAUAUCUGUAGUGAAGUAAAAGUAAUGAAAGUACAAAAUUGUGAGAGAAAUUUGUGUUGGAAAUGAAUGCUUUGUUAUUUUUUUAAAUAUAGGUUAUAGCCAGGCUGGUUAGAGUAUAUAUCUUUUUCUGUACGAUUGUAUGUUUAAUUUUAAAUAAGUAGAACUGAUUUUUGGGUAUUAAAGCGCCUAAAAUGGCUGCUAUUUAAAUUCUAUUAUAUGCAUAUAUGCAUUUCCGAAAAGGGAAACAUAUUGAAAAUGACAUAUAAUUACUUCACCGUUAUUUUCUAUGAUGAACAUAAUUUCAUUGGAAAUAUAUCGAAGAAUUUAUUAGAUUUCUUGAAUUUAAAACAUUUUAAAAAUUUGAUACUAUUGAAUUAUUUA